This 341-nucleotide ribosomal RNA is filed under the name uncultured bacterium. RNAcentral describes it as "bacterial SSU rRNA". It matches the Rfam family "Bacterial small subunit ribosomal RNA", at positions 28 to 507 of the family's 1533-position model. The record is from RNAcentral.
GAUUAACGCUAGCGGAAGGCAUAAUACAUGCAAGAGCCUCGCGCGAUUGGAGCGGCCGAUAUCAGAUUAGGUAGUUGGUGGGGUAAAAGGCUCACCAAGCCAACGAUCUGUAGCUGGUCUGAGAGGACGACCAGCCACACUGGGACUGAGACACGGCCCAGACUCCUACGGGAGGCAGCAGUGGGGAAUUUUGGACAAUGGGCGAAAGCCUGAUCCAGCCAUGCCGCGUGAGUGAAGAAGGCCUUCGGGUUGUAAACUGCUUUUGUACGGAACGAAACGGUCUGCCCUAAUACGGUGGGCUAAUGACGGUACCGUAAGAAUAAGCACCGGCUAACUACGUG